AAAUAAACUCCUUGUAAGCAGUUGGCUGAUUCAUCCUAUCAUCCCGCGACUCCCUAGGAUUCCCAUAACCAAGUGAAAGUGGCGACUGAUGAAUAGGUUUUGCUGUAUAUACAUUCUUUUGUGUUUUUUUCAAUGUUGAGUCUAUCCUUUCGAUAGUAGGUGGUUAUGUAUUGUUAUGCUUUAUAUUAGUCUGAACAUGUACACGUGACUUCCAUUUUGGAGCCACAAACGCCUAUGCUGUAAAAAAACGAU
This 252-nucleotide long non-coding RNA is filed under the name Cicer arietinum (chickpea). RNAcentral's name for it is "long non-coding RNA (CARI_LNC002344)". Lineage: Eukaryota; Viridiplantae; Streptophyta; Magnoliopsida; Fabales; Fabaceae. The record is from RNAcentral.